AGGCGACGAUGUCUAGGGGGUCUGAGAGGAUGAUCCCCCACACUGGUACUGAGACACGGACCAGACUCCGACGGGAGGCAGCAGUGAGGAAUAUUGCGCAAUGGAGGAAACUCUGACGCAGCCAUCCCGCGUGCAGGAUUGACGGCCCUAUGGGUUGUAAACUGCUUUUCUAUACCAAGAAACACCGAUACGUGUAUCGGUUUGCCGGUAGUAUAGGAAUAAGCAUCGGCUAACUCCGUGCCAGCAGCCGCGGUAAUACGGAGGAUGCAAGCGUUAUCCGGAAUCACUGGGUUUAAAGGGUGCGCAGGCGGAAUAGUAAGUCAGAGGUGAAAGCCCACAGCUCAACUGUGGAAUUGCCUUUGAUACUGUUAUUCUUGAGUGUAGUUGAAGUAGGCGGAAUAUAGCAUGUAGCGGUGAAAUGCAUAGAUAUGCUAUAGAACACCAAUUGCGAAGGCAGCUUGCUAAACUAUAACUGACGCUGAGGCACGAAAGCGUGGGGAGCGAACAGGAUUAGAUACCCUGGUAGUCCACGCCGUAAACUAUGAACACUCGCUGUUGGCAAUACACAGUCAGCGGCUGAGCGAAAGCGUUAAGUGUUCCACCUGGGAAGUACGAUCGCAAGGUUGAAACUCAAAGGAAUUGACGGGGGCCCGCACAAGCGGAGGAGCAUGUGGUUUAAUUCGAUGAUACGCGAGGAACCUUACCUGGGCUUAAAUGUAUAUUGACGUACUGAGAAAUCAGUAUUUCUUCGGACAAUUUACAAGGUGCUGCAUGGUUGUCGUCAGCUCGUGCCGUGAGGUGUCGGGUUAAGUCCCAUAACGAGCGCAACCCCUACUUCUAGUUACCAGCAUUUCGGAUGGGGACUCUAGAGGAACUGCCUACGCAAGUAGAGAGGAAGGUGGGGAUGACGUCAAAUCAGCACGGCCCUUAUGUCCAGGGCUACACACGUGCUACAAUGGCCGGUACAGAGGGCAGCUACAUAGCAAUAUGAUGCUAAUCUCAAAAGCCGGUCUCAGUCCGGAUUGGAGUCUGCAACUCGACUCCAUGAAGCUGGAUUCGCUAGUAAUCGCACAUCAGCAAUGGUGCGGUGAAUACGUUCCCGGGCAUUGUACACACCGCCCGUCAAGCCAUGGAAGUUGGGGGUACCUGAAGCCGAUUGCCGUAAGGCGUUGC
RNAcentral lists this ribosomal RNA (1173 nucleotides) under uncultured organism. Its description in RNAcentral is "bacterial SSU rRNA". It matches the Rfam family "Bacterial small subunit ribosomal RNA", at positions 271 to 1456 of the family's 1533-position model. The record is from RNAcentral.